CACGCCGUAAACUAUCAAUACUCGUUUUCAGCGAUAUACUGUUGGAGACUAAGCGAAAGUGAUAAGUAUUGCACCUGGGGAGUACGAUCGCAAGGUUGAAACUCAAAGGAAUUGACGGGGGCCCGCACAAGCGGUGGAGCAUGUGGUUUAAUUCGAUGAUACGCGAGGAACCUUACCAGGGCUUAAAUGUAGAGGGAAUGUAGUGGAAACAUUGCAGUCUUCGGACCGUCUACAAGGUGC
RNAcentral lists this ribosomal RNA (240 nucleotides) under uncultured bacterium. RNAcentral's name for it is "partial 16S ribosomal RNA". It matches the Rfam family "Bacterial small subunit ribosomal RNA", at positions 796 to 1041 of the family's 1533-position model. The record is from RNAcentral.